UGCACCUGGUGGCGAGUGGCGAACGGGUGAGUAAUACAUCGGAACGUACCUUAUCGUGGGGGAUAACGCAGCGAAAGCUGUGCUAAUACCGCAUACGCCCUGAGGGGGAAAGCGGGGGAUCGAAAGACCUCGCGCGAUUAGAGCGGCCGAUGCCUGAUUAGCUUGUUGGUGGGGUAAAAGCCCACCAAGGCGACGAUCAGUAGCUGGUCUGAGAGGACGAUCAGCCACACUGGGACUGAGACACGGCCCAGACUCCUACGGGAGGCAGCAGUGGGGAAUUUUGGACAAUGGGGGAAACCCUGAUCCAGCAAUGCCGCGUGAGUGAAGAAGGCCUUUGGGUUGUAAAGCUCUUUUGUCAGGGAAGAAACACCGGCUCUAACACAGUCCGGGAAUGACGGUACCUGAAGAAUAAGCACCGGCUAACUACGUGCCAGCAGCCGCGGUAAUACGUAGGGUGCGAGCGUUAAUCGGAAUUACUGGGCGUAAAGCGUGCGCAGGCGGUUAUACAAGACAGGCGUGAAAUCCCCGGGCUUAACCUGGGAAUGGCGCCUGUGACUGUAUAGCUAGAGUGUGUCAGAGGGGGGUAGAAUUCCACGUGUAGCAGUGAAAUGCGUAGAUAUGUGGAGGAAUACCAAUGGCGAAGGCAGCCCCCUGGGAUAACACUGACGCUCAUGCACGAAAGCGUGGGGAGCAAACAGGA
Molecule: ribosomal RNA, 700 nt
Filed under: uncultured beta proteobacterium
Lineage: Bacteria; Pseudomonadati; Pseudomonadota; Betaproteobacteria
Description: bacterial SSU rRNA
Rfam family: Bacterial small subunit ribosomal RNA
Source: RNAcentral